AGGUUUCAUUGAUUUUAUAGUAGAGCCAACAUUUUCCCUUCUGACAGACUCAACAGAGAAAAUUAUUAUUCCUCUUAUAGAGGAAGCCUCAAAAGCAGAAACUUCUUCCUAUGGGGCAAGCAGACUAUCCAAUAUGAAAGGCCCCAUGAACGAUGGAACCUAUUUCCCAGACUACUCCCUUGAAAGUGUGGACCUAAAGAGCUUCAAAAACAACCUGGUGGACAUCAUCCAGCAGAACAAAGAGAGGUGGAAAGAGUUAGCUGCACAAGGGUGUGAAAAAGCUGCCACUGGAACAAUAAGGAGUAACCCCAACUGAAUGUUACCUUUAUCCUUCUUUGCCUCUCUGGGGAAAACCUGGAUCCAUGUCCAUGGGCAUCAUCAGGAAACAAGGCUGAGUGGCUUCCCAAACUCUUUUCCCAAAUUCUUUUCCCAGAAAGUCUAUUCUCAAACUUAGACUUAUAGGGCACUAGGCUUCCUUAUUGAGUAUUUUCAAAUCACCUUUAGAACUGAGAGAUGAUAAGCUGCUGAGGAAAAAUAAAUACGCUUGUCAGCCUAAGCAUCACAUUCCAAACCAGCCACACGGCAGACCUUCCACCCCCAGAGGCCUCCGUCGCUCUGUGACAUGUCCCUGCGCUUGACCUCACAGAUCCCACUGGACUUCAGGCACGUGUUUUUUCCUGUUUACCAGAAAUCCCUAUUAUGCCUCAGCAGUGCUUCUAACUAUUCCGUAUCUGUUGCUUAGAGCAAAUAAAAAUAGAUAUUUUGAAAAGAAUGAAAA
Non-coding RNA from Manis javanica (Malayan pangolin), 778 nucleotides. NCBI's taxonomy places the organism in Eukaryota, Metazoa, Chordata, Mammalia, Pholidota, Manidae. The record is from RefSeq and is a predicted model, not a curated record.